RNAcentral lists this ribosomal RNA (374 nucleotides) under Shewanella sp. RNAcentral's name for it is "bacterial SSU rRNA". It matches the Rfam family "Bacterial small subunit ribosomal RNA", at positions 860 to 1233 of the family's 1533-position model. The record is from RNAcentral. Lineage: Bacteria; Pseudomonadati; Pseudomonadota; Gammaproteobacteria; Alteromonadales; Shewanellaceae.
UUAAGUAGACCGCCUGGGGAGUACGGCCGCAAGGUUAAAACUCAAAUGAAUUGACGGGGGCCCGCACAAGCGGUGGAGCAUGUGGUUUAAUUCGAUGCAACGCGAAGAACCUUACCUACUCUUGACAUCCAGAGAAUUCGCUAGAGAUAGCUUAGUGCCUUCGGGAACUCUGAGACAGGUGCUGCAUGGCUGUCGUCAGCUCGUGUUGUGAAAUGUUGGGUUAAGUCCCGCAACGAGCGCAACCCUUAUCCUUAUUUGCCAGCACGUAAUGGUGGGAACUUUAGGGAGACUGCCGGUGAUAAACCGGAGGAAGGUGGGGACGACGUCAAGUCAUCAUGGCCCUUACGAGUAGGGCUACACACGUGCUACAAUGG